This 62-nucleotide transfer RNA is filed under the name Lophopotamon yenyuanense. RNAcentral describes it as "tRNA-Phe". The record is from RNAcentral. Lineage: Eukaryota; Metazoa; Arthropoda; Malacostraca; Decapoda; Potamidae.
GUUUAUAUAAUUUAUAAAGAAUAUUGUGUUGAAGUUACAAAAGAGGUAUUUAUCUAUAGACA